RNAcentral lists this ribosomal RNA (836 nucleotides) under Actinomadura sp. IM-7056. Its description in RNAcentral is "bacterial SSU rRNA". It matches the Rfam family "Bacterial small subunit ribosomal RNA", at positions 38 to 889 of the family's 1533-position model. The record is from RNAcentral. Lineage: Bacteria; Bacillati; Actinomycetota; Actinomycetes; Streptosporangiales; Thermomonosporaceae.
GGCGGCGUGCUUAACACAUGCAAGUCGAGCGGAAAGGCCCCUUCGGGGGUACUCGAGCGGCGAACGGGUGAGUAACACGUGAGCAACCUGCCCCUGACUCUGGGAUAAGCCCGGGAAACUGGGUCUAAUACCGGAUAUGACCACUGGUCGCAUGAUCGUGUGGUGGAAAGUUUUUCGGUUGGGGAUGGGCUCGCGGCCUAUCAGCUUGUUGGUGGGGUGAUGGCCUACCAAGGCGACGACGGGUAACCGGCCUGAGAGGGCGACCGGUCACACUGGGACUGAGACACGGCCCAGACUCCUACGGGAGGCAGCAGUGGGGAAUAUUGCGCAAUGGGCGGAAGCCUGACGCAGCGACGCCGCGUGAGGGAUGACGGCCUUCGGGUUGUAAACCUCUUUCAGCAGGGACGAAGCUAACGUGACGGUACCUGCAGAAGAAGCGCCGGCUAACUACGUGCCAGCAGCCGCGGUAAUACGUAGGGCGCAAGCGUUGUCCGGAAUUAUUGGGCGUAAAGAGCUCGUAGGCGGUUUGUCGCGUCUGUCGUGAAAGCCCACGGCUUAACCGUGGGUCUGCGGUGGAUACGGGCAGACUAGAGGCAGGUAGGGGAGAAUGGAAUUCCCGGUGUAGCGGUGAAAUGCGCAGAUAUCGGGAGGAACACCGGUGGCGAAGGCGGUUCUCUGGGCCUGUACUGACGCUGAGGAGCGAAAGCGUGGGGAGCGAACAGGAUUAGAUACCCUGGUAGUCCACGCCGUAAACGUUGGGCGCUAGGUGUGGGGUCCUUCCACGGAUUCCGCGCCGCAGCUAACGCAUUAAGCGCCCGCCUGGGGAGUACGGCCGC